This 490-nucleotide ribosomal RNA is filed under the name uncultured bacterium. Its description in RNAcentral is "partial 16S ribosomal RNA". It matches the Rfam family "Bacterial small subunit ribosomal RNA", at positions 30 to 507 of the family's 1533-position model. The record is from RNAcentral.
AUUGAACGCUGGCGGCAGGCCUAACACAUGCAAGUCGAACGGUAACAGGAAGCAGCUUGCUGCUUCGCUGACGAGUGGCGGACGGGUGAGUAAUGUCUGGGAAGCUGCCUGAUGGAGGGGGAUAACUACUGGAGACGGUAGCUAAUACCGCAUAAUGUCGCAAGACCAAAGAGGGGGACCUUCGGGCCUCUUGCCAUCGGAUGUGCCCAGAUGGGAUUAGCUUGUUGGUGGGGUAACGGCUCACCAAGGCGACGAUCCCUAGCUGGUCUGAGAGGAUGACCAGCCACACUGGAACUGAGACACGGUCCAGACUCCUACGGGAGGCAGCAGUGGGGAAUAUUGCACAAUGGGCGCAAGCCUGAUGCAGCCAUGCCGCGUGUAUGAAGAAGGCCUUCGGGUUGUAAAGUACUUUCAGCGGGGAGGAAGGGAGUAAAGUUAAUACCUUUGCUAAUUGACGUUACCCGCAGAAGAAGCACCGGCUAACUCCGUG